UUCUUCUAGUUUUGUUUUUGGUUUUUCCAGUUUUAUAUCCAAAUCUGAAUUCUACUUCUUAUCAGCUAUGUAAUCUUGGGCAAGAUCUCCUUCACUAGUAAAACAGGAAUAAUAGUUGCUCUCUUACUGGGUUGCUGGUAUGAUUAGAUAAGGCAGUACAGUAAAGCACUUGCCAUAGUGCGUGGCCAUUACAAGUCUAGAAUAUAUUUUAGCUAAUAUCCAUAAUUAAUACCAUCUCUUAAAUCUUUAAUCAACUAUAAUUAAUUUUGGUGCAGAAAAGGAGGUAAUCAUCUAAUUAUUUUUCCUUCAAUAGUUCCUCUAUCUUUGCAACAAUUCUGUGAGGCAAUCCAAUUUUAAAGAUAAAAGACACUUACUCUUAGAAAAAAAAAUUAAAGGAAUCAUUUAUUGCUAUUUCUCUAGCACCUCUAGUGGUCCCACCUUUAAAAUUCCACUGACCAAAUGUAAUGGUGGUAUACUCACACGUGACAGAAAGAAGGGUGUGUGUGAAUGUGUGUGUAUGUGUAGGGGGGGUCAUGAUGAGGAGAGGAAGAAGGAACAGUAUCAUUAAUUAUUAUCUGGGCCAGAAUACGCCAACCCAUGUUGUCCAGUGGAGGAAAAAUAUUUACCAUUUUUUUAAUAACAUUAAGAUAUCUCAGAAGGGUAGAGGGAAAAAAACAACUAAAUAAAUCAUAUCAAUAAAACUGAAUGCAAACAGACUCUAUAGAGCUCUCCUUAUUUUUUUAUUCUGGUGCCUUUGUAGCUCUACGAAUCCCUGGCUGGGGUUAUACUUAAUCAAUUCUUUGGUUUGCUGACUUUCAGCCACCACUGGUAAAACAAAUGAUUUUUUGAAAAAAGUGAAGACUGUCAACCAAAGCCUAAAAAUGCCCUGUAGACUCUAUACGGUCUUCUGUCCUCCUCAGCAUAACCAGUUUUCCAUGAAACAUGAACAGUGGCUACACUUCACUCUGUGAUGGACAGAAAAUAUUAACCAUCAAAGACCCUUAUACAGUCUAUUAAGGAGAGUCUGGUUUAGCCAAAAGACUGAAGGUGUUUUUGUUUGUUUCUUUUUACUUUGUUCCUUUUUAUUUUUUAAACACAGCAGUCCCUUUUUUCGGCAUAGAAAAAAAGCAAUUUGUCAACUGCUUUUAGAAGCUUAGUUCACACACACACACACACACACACACACACACACACACACACAGAGCUAUUUAUCCUGGAGAGUGGGAAUCAGGGAAUCCAUAAAAGAUGCACUAUCCCUACCCUAAAUGUUUCCCGACUCCAGUUCACACUCAAAUGGGACGAAGUGCCACUUGUCUAGGGAAAUACGUACCAGCCCAGAAGGGAAACGGAAGGGCAAGCUCAGAAGUCCUGAGGGGAGCAAGAGGACCUAUGAGAAUCUGUUUCUAUCCCAGACAAACCACACAAAGGCACAACACAGUCCAACCCAAGAGCCUGUGACUUUUCCGCAGGACCCCUGCCAGAGGGGAGAUGGCCACUCUACAGAAGUCAGCUCCACGUGCCUGGCACGGGGAACCCACAGGGUCUCACUUGUUCAUAACCAUGACCAAGAUGCCAAUUUCCUCUGUGGGGUUUAUGAUUAGACUCCUAUAGCUGUGUGGACAAGUCUUAAAACCCAGGCAUGCCCAAAGCAACCACAACACAAUGUCAGAACAGUAGAGAAGGUUCCUGUAUGGAAUUUCUGCAAGCAAAGUCACAGACCUGACCCACCCAACCCUGAGUCACACAUGAUAGAGCUCUCUGAAAAGCUAACACCCUGAGUCUCCACACUAGUGCGUAACCUGUCCCUCCUGGGAAUAGCAGCAAUGGCCUCAAAGCUACCAGGCGUGUGCAUUGGGAGCUCAGUAACCAAGCGGGCCUCUCACUGUUGUGGCCUCUCCUGUUGCGGAGCACAGGCUCCGGAUGCACAGGCUCAGAGGCCAUGGCUCACGGGCCCAGCUGCUCCGCAGCAUAUGGCAUCCUCCCGGACCGGGACACAAACCCGAGUCCCCCGCAUCGGCAGGCGGACUCUCAACCACUGCGCCACCAGGGAAGCCCCUGAUUUAUGUUUAUGUAGAUGUGAAGCGUCACAAAAAAAGAAGAGUUACGCUUCAUUCAACUUGGAGAAGCGGGACUGAAAUUGAAAGGAGAGCCUCUGUGAUCAGAACUGUCUUCAUCACUGCUAUUUGCAAAAGCAUCUCUGCCAGCGCUAACUCCAGCCUGUAUUUGAGCAUAUCUGCUCCUGGGCAUCAAAGAAGGGACACCAGCCAGAAUGAUCAUUCUUAUUACUGGUGGUGAUAUUAUCUAGUUCUCCGCUUACCCAAUCUGUGAAUUGGGACAUUUUAUUUCAUCUCUCUGAGCCUCAUUUCAUCAUCAAUAAAAUAGAAACAGUAACCAAACAGGUUUGUUCUGACCCAAGCAUUAAUUCCCAGAAUGAAAUAAUGUAUGAAAGUGCUUUGUAAAUGUAGAGGACCAUUCGCAUCUUAUAUCAUUACCAACAUUAAUUGUUCGCUCACGGUUUAAGUUUUACAUUAGAAUGCCAAUUUGUCUUCUCAAAAGCAGAGGUGUUUCACACGGGUUAUUGUGAUAGAUACAAUUCAGGAUUUUGGCACACCUGGCCAGCAUGCAUGCCAAAUUCCAUAUCAGUGCUUACCUUGGGAGGUUUCCUGAAUGAUGGAAACAAAACAUUCAGCAGCAGAAGUAGAGCGGGUUGUCAACACAGCAGCCACACGUCAGAAGGAAGCAAUGAAAGAGAAAAAAAACAAGGGAAACUCAGCAUCUUGAUUACGUGAUCUGAAAGAUAUUCUACUUCACAAAGAUCUGGAGCCAUAUUCACUUCACUGCCUGAGGUGAUAAACUUUUAUAUUUGUUCAAAAAUAUAGUGUGGGCCUCAGUUUCUUUCCUGGUUUAAUAGAAUGUAUCCAGUCAUUAAGAGGUAUUUUUAAUGAUUCUUAAAAAGCCAACAAAAAGAGCAUCAGAAUAAAGAAAGAUGCGGCAAUCAUACUGCAUGUGGUCAAAUACUUCAAAAUCAAUUUUCACAUUUAAAUUUUUGUUAAAUUCGCCUUAAUAUAUAUGUAUAUUUCCUUUGAAAAAUAAUAAAUAUGGGAUUUUUUCCCAAUUAAAAACCAUGGUUUAGAUGACAAUUUUCACAUAUUUCAACCCUGAAUAAAAAUUUAAAAGCAAGUUAUAUCCUUCCUUAUCACCAACAACACACGCAUCCUUUAUCAUUCUUUUUUUUUUUGUGGUACGCGGGCCUCUCACUGCUGUGGUCUCUCCCGUUGCGGAGCACAGGCUCCGGACGCGCAGGCCCAGCGGCCAUGGCUCACGGGCCCAGCCGCUCCGCGGCAUGUGGGAUCCUCCCGGACCGGGGCACGAA
Molecule: long non-coding RNA, 3373 nt
Organism: Orcinus orca (killer whale)
Lineage: Eukaryota; Metazoa; Chordata; Mammalia; Artiodactyla; Delphinidae
Exons: 4
Source: RefSeq, a predicted model, not a curated record